AUUGAACGCUGGCGGCAGGCCUAACACAUGCAAGUCGAGCGGAUGAAGGGAGCUUGCUCCUGGAUUCAGCGGCGGACGGGUGAGUAAUGCCUAGGAAUCUGCCUGGUAGUGGGGGAUAACGUCCGGAAACGGGCGCUAAUACCGCAUACGUCCUGAGGGAGAAAGUGGGGGAUCUUCGGACCUCACGCUAUCAGAUGAGCCUAGGUCGGAUUAGCUAGUUGGUGGGGUAAAGGCCUACCAAGGCGACGAUCCGUAACUGGUCUGAGAGGAUGAUCAGUCACACUGGAACUGAGACAGGGUCCAGACUCCUACGGGAGGCAGCAGUGGGGAAUAUUGGACAAUGGGGGAAAGCCUGAUCCAGCCAUGCCGCGUGUGUGAAGAAGGUCUUCGGAUUGUAAAGCAUUUUAAGUUGGGAGGAAGGGCAGUAAGUUAAUACCUUGCUGUUUUGACGUUACCAACAGAAUAAGCACCGGCUAACUUCGUG
Molecule: ribosomal RNA, 484 nt
Filed under: uncultured bacterium
Lineage: Bacteria
Description: partial 16S ribosomal RNA
Rfam family: Bacterial small subunit ribosomal RNA
Source: RNAcentral